AAAACGCUGCGAGUUUGCUUACGCAAACAUCGCUUAUUGACGUGUGCGCUAUCGCGCACGAAUUCAACGGUCUCAAAAAUUGAUAUUUUGUUCGACUGUUGAAUUUUAAG
This is a non-coding RNA of Treponema sp. OMZ 838, 110 nucleotides long. The record is from Rfam. NCBI's taxonomy places the organism in Bacteria, Pseudomonadati, Spirochaetota, Spirochaetia, Treponematales, Treponemataceae.